Molecule: ribosomal RNA, 460 nt
Filed under: uncultured bacterium
Lineage: Bacteria
Description: partial 16S ribosomal RNA
Rfam family: Bacterial small subunit ribosomal RNA
Source: RNAcentral
CCUACGGGGGGCUGCAGUGAGGAAUAUUGGUCAAUGGGCGCUAGCCUGAACCAGCCAAGUAGCGUGAAGGAUGACUGCCCUAUGGGUUGUAAACUUCUUUUGUAUGGGAAUAAAGUGCAGUAUGUAUACUGCUUUGCAUGUACCUUAUGAAUAAGGAUCGGCUAACUCCGUGCCAGCAGCCGCGGUAAUACGGAGGAUUCGAGCGUUAUCCGGAUUUAUUGGGUUUAAAGGGAGCGUAGGCGGGUUGUUAAGUCAGUUGUGAAAGUUUGCGGCUCAACCGUAAAAUUGCAGUUGAUACUGGCAGCCUUGAGUACAGUAGAGGUAGGCGGAAUGCGUGGUGUAGCGGUGAAAUGCUUAGAUAUCACGAAGAACUCCGAUUGCGAAGGCAGCCUGCUGGACUGUAACUGACGCUGAGGCUCGAAAGUGUGGGUAUCAAACAGGAUUAGAUACCCUAGUAGUC